GAUGAACGCUGGCGGCGUGCCUAAUACAUGCAAGUCGAGCGAACGGACGCUAAUCUUGCUUCUCUCAUGUUAGCAGCGGACGGGUGAGUAACACGUGGUUUACCCACCUAUAAGACUUAGAUAACUUCGGGUAACUGUAGCUCAUACCGGAUAAUAUUUUGAGCCUCAUGGUUCAAAAGUUUAAGACGUUCUUGCUGUCACUUAUAGAUGUAUCCGCGCUGUAUUAGUUAGUUGGUACGGUAACGGCUUACCAAGGCAACGAUGCAUAGCCGACCUGGGAGAGGGAACGCGCACAGAGGAACUGAGACACGAUACAGAGUCCUACGGGAGGCAGAAGUAGGUAAUCUUCCGAAAUGGGCGAAAUACUGACGAAGCGGCGCAGCGUGGGUGAUGAGGGUCUGCGGAGCGUAAGACUCUGUUAUUGGGGAAGAACAUAUGUGUAAGUGACUGUGCACAUCUUGACGGUACCUAGUCAGAAAGCCACGGCUAACUACGUG
Molecule: ribosomal RNA, 497 nt
Filed under: uncultured bacterium
Lineage: Bacteria
Description: partial 16S ribosomal RNA
Rfam family: Bacterial small subunit ribosomal RNA
Source: RNAcentral